GACCUGAUUAUGUGUGCAAGCUC
RNAcentral lists this non-coding RNA (23 nucleotides) under Arabidopsis thaliana (thale cress). The record is from RNAcentral. Lineage: Eukaryota; Viridiplantae; Streptophyta; Magnoliopsida; Brassicales; Brassicaceae.